CCUGCCUGUCGGUUGCCACAUGAACCCUCUGUGAUGUUUAGCAGUCUGGUGCCUGCCUGUUUGAUGUGGUUUGGCUGAUUCCAAGGUUCCCUAUCUGGAGUGGCAUGAUGUAUUGUUCCUUACAGAGCACCCUGUGUUAAGGUAUGAGAAGCUUAAGGAGCAACAAGUAGGGUAUGAUAACUACCUGAGGUAACUGUUAUUUACUUUUAUAAAGCUGUUGCUAAUAUGGGUUUUUAAUUGUAGGUUGUCAGCAGCUGUUUUUCCUUUUGUUAACUAGGAUUUUUAACCAUUAUUGCUGGUACGCUCUGGCUGUAGUGCCUCCAGCCGGCACUCCCCUAGUUGACUAUGCUUGUAUUUUAGAUAUAACCAACUGGUCUAUUGUGUUUUAUUUAACUUGUUUUAUUCUUUUCAGUGGUUCUAGUGGUCGGCUUAUGGUGGAGGCUAGGCACGCUAGUAUGGGUUCCUUUACUGAUUGUAGUGUUAACGGCACUGGGACACAAUUUGGUAGUGACACGAUUUGCAGUGACUAUCUACUGCAGUGGGCACAUGCGGUGGGUAAGUUGAUGCACAGCUGGUCCUGGCCCAAUCUGCCUUUUUGUUUGGUUCAAUAAUUGGUAAUAACUGGUGUCUUGUUAAAAAUAAAAGUAACUUGUUUGCCAAAUUUAAUAAACCUUCAUAUUCCAUGGUAAUUUGAUUAUUGUAGUAUUCACCAUCCUCUUUUCAGGCACUUCCAGUUACAGAUUAUCAAUAAAUAAAUUAUUCACUUGGA
This is a long non-coding RNA of Micropterus dolomieu (smallmouth bass), 769 nucleotides long. RefSeq lists it as uncharacterized. The record is from RefSeq and is a predicted model, not a curated record. The transcript is spliced from 2 exons. NCBI's taxonomy places the organism in Eukaryota, Metazoa, Chordata, Actinopteri, Centrarchiformes, Centrarchidae.